This 573-nucleotide ribosomal RNA is filed under the name fungal sp. 51675. RNAcentral's name for it is "eukaryotic LSU rRNA". The stretch from base 211 to 363 matches the Rfam family "5.8S ribosomal RNA". Lineage: Eukaryota; Fungi. The record is from RNAcentral. RNAcentral also lists the same sequence under 6 other names.
GGUUUCCGUAGGUGAACCUGCGGAAGGAUCAUUACCGAGUGAGGGCCCUCUGGGUCCAACCUCCCACCCGUGUUUAUUUUACCUUGUUGCUUCGGCGGGCCCGCCUUAACUGGCCGCCGGGGGGCUUACGCCCCCGGGCCCGCGCCCGCCGAAGACACCCUCGAACUCUGUCUGAAGAUUGUAGUCUGAGUGAAAAUAUAAAUUAUUUAAAACUUUCAACAACGGAUCUCUUGGUUCCGGCAUCGAUGAAGAACGCAGCGAAAUGCGAUACGUAAUGUGAAUUGCAAAUUCAGUGAAUCAUCGAGUCUUUGAACGCACAUUGCGCCCCCUGGUAUUCCGGGGGGCAUGCCUGUCCGAGCGUCAUUUCUGCCCUCAAGCACGGCUUGUGUGUUGGGCCCCGUCCUCCGAUCCCGGGGGACGGGCCCGAAAGGCAGCGGCGGCACCGCGUCCGGUCCUCGAGCGUAUGGGGCUUUGUCACCCGCUCUGUAGGCCCGGCCGGCGCUUGCCGAUCAACCCAAAUUUUUAUCCAGGUUGACCUCGGAUCAGGUAGGGAUACCCGCUGAACUUAAGCAU